Long non-coding RNA from Gossypium raimondii (Peruvian cotton), 563 nucleotides. RefSeq lists it as uncharacterized. NCBI's taxonomy places the organism in Eukaryota, Viridiplantae, Streptophyta, Magnoliopsida, Malvales, Malvaceae. The record is from RefSeq and is a predicted model, not a curated record. The transcript is spliced from 3 exons.
CCAAAUCCCAAAUAAAACCCUCCCUCGUAUGAAAUUUCAAAUUCCCUCUCACGCUCACCAUUUUGUUCUCUCACAAUUUGAAACCCUGUUUCUAAAAUUCCAAUCAUUCCUUUCGAAAUAUAUUAUUUUCCUUCAUGGAAUAUGAGAUGAACAGUGCGGCAGUGGCGUCGACGGUGUAUGUGAGCAUCUCUUCUCCAAUGGCACCAUUUCCACCCUUUCCAUAUUGUGCACAUCUUUUCGUACUUGCCUAGGGAUCUGAACUUCGUUGAGCAACAAGUAGCAUUGGUUGGAAAGAGGGUUAUAACAACUUUCUAUGAGAGAAUUGAAGGACUUGAAUCAUUUGAAAGAAAUCUAGUAUUUUGUUUUUUUGGCUGAGGUGGUAGAUGACAAUUCAAGGGACGUGUUUUAAUGAUUAAGGUUCUAACAAAGACAUAUUUAGUUUUAAGAAACCCUUUUUGUGUUUCUAACAAGGUUUGUUAACUUUGUAGUCAGGAAAUUUUAUAAUGUUUUGAUGUUAACUUCAUUAUACAUUAUGAAUAUAAAAUAUUUGUUUUCUUUCUUUA